This 253-nucleotide unclassified non-coding RNA is filed under the name uncultured Bacteriovoracaceae bacterium. RNAcentral describes it as "contains 16S-23S intergenic spacer region". It matches the Rfam family "Bacterial small subunit ribosomal RNA", at positions 524 to 776 of the family's 1533-position model. The record is from RNAcentral. Lineage: Bacteria; Pseudomonadati; Bdellovibrionota; Bacteriovoracia; Bacteriovoracales; Bacteriovoracaceae.
UACGAAGGGUGCAAGCGUUGUUCGGAUUUAUUGGGCGUAAAGCGCGCGCAGGCGGAAUCAUAAGUCAGGUGUGAAAUCUCGGGACUCAACCCCGAAACUGCGCCUGAAACUGUAGUUCUAGAGUUCUGGAGGGGGAAGGGGAAUUUCUCGUGUAGGGGUAAAAUCCGUAGAGAUGAGAAGGAACACCAGAGGCGAAGGCGCCUUCCUGGACAGACACUGACGCUGAGGCGCGAAAGCGUGGGGAGCAAACAGG